CUUGGUCAUUUAGAGGNAGUAAAAGUCGUAACAAGGUUUCCGUAGGUGAACCUGCGGAAGGAUCAUUACAAGUGAGGCUACCGAACGUUGGAAACAGCGGUUAGGAGCUUACACCCACCCGUGUUUACAUACUAUUGUUGCUUUGGCGGGCCGUGGCCUCCACUGCGGGCUCUGCUCGUGUGUGCCCGCCAGAGGACCAAACUCUGAAUGUUAGUGAUGUCUGAGUACUAUCUAAUAGUUAAAACUUUCAACAACGGAUCUCUUGGUUCUGGCAUCGAUGAAGAACGCAGCGAAAUGCGAUAAGUAAUGUGAAUUGCAGAUUUUCAGUGAAUCAUCGAAUCUUUGAACGCACCUUGCGCUCCUUGGUAUUCCGAGGAGCAUGCCUGUUUGAGUGUCAUUAAAUUCUCAACUCCAAGGGUUUCACGACCUUUCGGAGAUUGGACUUGGAGGUGCUGGCCGCAUAUUGGUCGGCUCCUCUCAAAUGCAUCAGCGGAAUUCAACCUUUGGCUUCCGGAUGUCAGUGUGAUAAUCAUGUUGCGCUGUCGUUUGAUCCCUCAGAGUCCGCUUAUAAUGGUCUUCGGACAAAAUCAUCAUCAAAUUUGACCUCAAUCAGGUAGGACUACCCGCUGAACUUAAGCAUAUCAAUAAGCGGAGA
RNAcentral lists this ribosomal RNA (655 nucleotides) under uncultured fungus. RNAcentral describes it as "eukaryotic LSU rRNA". The stretch from base 243 to 397 matches the Rfam family "5.8S ribosomal RNA". Lineage: Eukaryota; Fungi. The record is from RNAcentral.